This is an RNA transcript of Triticum aestivum (bread wheat), 1865 nucleotides long. RefSeq lists it as uncharacterized. NCBI's taxonomy places the organism in Eukaryota, Viridiplantae, Streptophyta, Magnoliopsida, Poales, Poaceae. The record is from RefSeq and is a predicted model, not a curated record. The transcript is spliced from 2 exons.
AACCUCGCAGCGGAAAAGAAAGCAGAUUUAUCAUCAUUACUUCACAAAGUCACAAGACCACAUGUACCCAACCGCUGUUGAUGCCGCGUAGCUCGGCACAUUGCCACGUAGGUUGAUCUCCCUAGCUCGCUCUGCCCUCCCUCCACGCGCCCGUUCCCCCGAGCAGAUCCAUCAAGCUCUUGGACGUCCAUCUGCUAGCUGCAUGCUGGCGUGCUGCCAGUCAUGGCGACGACGUAAGUAACGUCGUUGGUGCCGCUGCUCCUGCUUACCCUGUGGCACGAUAUAUAGCGCUGACCCAGCACGAAACUUACGGGCCAAGCAAGAUCAACAGGCAUCACCUACGCAUGCACGGGCAGUACAGUCGUACGUCAUGGAAGGAGGGAGAUCUGAGAUGCGUGUUCCACGUCCACACGGUGUCACCACAUACACGCGGCAUCGGAGACCAUGACUCCAUGAGCAUCCCAGGCAGAUAACUCCUUGAGCUGGCUAGCUGCCAUGCGUUCGAGCGUCCACAUCCACAUCCACACGGCAGCAGCAGCAGCAGCAGCAUGGAGCAAAUCAACAUCGGAAGCUUGCCGGGCGCGCCUCGUCCCGUCGUCAGCCCCACCGCCAUUCACCAGAUACUCGUCGCUAUUACAAAUAGGCAACCGCAUCUCUUCAUUCCGUCCAUUCUCGAUACUCCUCCCCCUACCCUACUACUCCCGGCUCCUCAAUCUCCUCAUCAGCCGCGCAGGGACGAUCGACCUCCAUACAUAGGACGAUCUCAGCCGUGCGGUGCAACGGUAAUACGACGCGCUCUAUAUGGCGCCGCAAACGACGGGUCCUAUCUACGACCCGGCGCCUAUUGAUCAAGUCUGGAUUAUUGUUGACAAGGAUGGAGGGAUCUAUAUUGGCAGCGAUGACACCGAAUAGCCGGUGAUACUUUGAUCUCUCGUCUCAAUUCCUUUGCUAUCUAUUAUGUUUUCAUCUGCAUACGGUAUCGCUAUAAGUAAUCAGUUAUUCCGUCUGUGUUUCCAUUGCCUUGUUAUGUUUUUAUCCACUGGAAUAUAUAUGCUUCAUGCAUACACAUAUUUGCAGCCUAUACAAGUUACAGUCAACUUGCUUGCUUAAUUCCCCGAAAAAAAAACUUUCUUGCUUAAUUAUGAAGUUGACUAUGAGCGCGAGUUGAUUAGCCUGUGUGUGACUAGUCGUUGUCUCUAACAUGCUUGUUAGUUUAUUAUCCUGUCGGCUGCUUGUUCCACAGGCGGGACCUACAGUUCAGAUUACACAAAUAUUCAGUGAGUAUUUCCGUUUCUUCUCUUUAUAUUAGGUGUGCUUUCCGCUCAAUUUGGUCUCGUAACAUCUAUGUCCUUUCAGUAAUUCGAAUAUUUUUCCUCUGAAGAUAUGGAAACUUUCGACACAGCGCUGCUACGCAUACGACGACAUACCAACCUCUCUCUGGUGCCCCCUCAUCCUUUGUGGCCGAUGAGGUUGCAUCUCGCCAACCGGACCUGCACAAGGAUUUGCGGUCCUCUGGAAUGCCCACGAGCGUCCCAACUCCCAAUCCUCAUAUUUUUCGUUCGUCGUCAUUGCUGCCAUGACCAUGCUGUCAUCGUCGUGGUCACCCCUUCAACCACGCAUCUCAUCAUUGACUGUAUCAGCUAUUCACCUGUCCUCCUGUCAUACCUGCUGAUUUGAGGCCGAGGAGAGUUGUGGUGAUUGUGUGUAUAUAUCUUGGAUUAUUGAACUAGUGGCAAGAAAUUGUCUUGUAACACAUGUACUUGCUGUUUCUCUACUCUAUUUGCGACAUAUGAACUGCUGGUGGAGCCAUAUGUACUCUGGAGUGCGUGCGUGCGUGUAAAUAAUAUGGCAUCAUGGUAUAUCUA